CCCUARUAACGGCGAGUGAAGAGGGAAAAGCUCAAAUUUAAAAUCUGGCGGUCUCCGGCCGUCCGAGUUGUAGUUUAGAGAGGUGUUUNCCGCGUCGGACCACACAAAAGUUCCUUGGAAUAGGGCUUCAUAGAGGGUGAGAAUCCCGUACAUGGUGUGGACUACCGGGGCUAUGUGAUGCACCCUCAAAGAGUCGAGUUGUUUGGGAAUGCAGCUCAAAAUGGGUGGUAAAUUCCAUCUAAAGCUAAAUAUUGGGGAGAGACCGAUAGCGCACAAGUACCGUGAGGGAAAGAUGAAAAGCACUUUGGAAAGAGAGUUAAACAGUACGUGAAAUUGCUGAAAGGGAAACGCUUGAAGUCAGUCGCGUCUGCUCAGACUCAGCCGUGGUUCUCCGCGGUGUACUUCUGUGCAGAUGGGCCAGCAUCGAUUUUGUCCAUCGUAUAAAUGCAUUUGGAACGUGGCAUCCCUCGGGAUGUGUUAUAGCCUUUUGCCAUGCGGUGAAUGGGAUCGAGGUUCGCAGCGCGCCGAAAGGCUGGGAUUCGUCCACACACGCGCUUAGGAUGCU
Molecule: ribosomal RNA, 565 nt
Filed under: Myxarium sp. FO 35744
Lineage: Eukaryota; Fungi; Basidiomycota; Agaricomycetes; Auriculariales; Hyaloriaceae
Description: eukaryotic LSU rRNA
Rfam family: Eukaryotic large subunit ribosomal RNA
Source: RNAcentral